AACUUUCGACAAUGGAUCACUUGGUUCUGGCAUCGAUGAAGAACGCAGCGAAAUGCGCUAAGUAAUGUGAAUUGCAGAAUUCAGUGCAUCAUCGAAUCUUUGAACGCACAUUGCGCCCCUUGGUAUUCCGGGGGGCAUGCCUGUUCGAGCGUCAUUAUAACCAAUCCAGCCUGGCUGGGUCUUGGGCUUCGCCGUCUGGUGGGCCUUAAAGCUAGUGGCGGUGCUCGCAAGCUCUACGCGUAGUAAUUUAUCUCUCGCUAUAGGGUCUUGUUAGAUGCUUGCCAUCAACCCCAAAUUUUCUAGGUUGACCUCGGAUCAGGUAGGGAUACCCGCUGAACUUAAGCAUAUCAAUAAGCGGAGGCU
Molecule: unclassified non-coding RNA, 363 nt
Filed under: uncultured Hyaloscyphaceae
Lineage: Eukaryota; Fungi; Ascomycota; Leotiomycetes; Helotiales
Description: sequence contains ITS2
Rfam family: 5.8S ribosomal RNA (bases 1-154)
Source: RNAcentral